RNAcentral lists this microRNA precursor (89 nucleotides) under Brachypodium distachyon (stiff brome). Its description in RNAcentral is "miR395g stem-loop (bdi-MIR395g)". Its record names the gene bdi-MIR395g. It matches the Rfam family "mir-395 microRNA precursor family". From Rfam's summary of the family: mir-395 was identified in both Arabidopsis thaliana and Oryza sativa computationally and was later experimentally verified. mir-395 is thought to target mRNAs coding for ATP sulphurylases. Lineage: Eukaryota; Viridiplantae; Streptophyta; Magnoliopsida; Poales; Poaceae. The record is from miRBase by way of RNAcentral.
GGUGUUACCAGGAGUUUCCUGCAAACACUUCACGAGUGCCUAUUUUAAUGGGUUGUUGUGAAGUGUUUGGGGGAACUCUUGAUGUCACC